GAUGAACGCUGGCGGCGUGCCUAAUACAUGCAAGUCGAGCGAACGGACGAGAAGCGUGCUUCUCUGAUGUUAGCGGCGGACGGGCGAGUAACACGUGGAUAACCUACUUCUAAGACUGGGAUAACUUCGGGAAACCGUAGCUAAUAACGGAUAAUAUUUUGUACCGCAUGGUUCAAAAGUGCAUGACGGUCUUGCUGUCACUUAUAGAUGGAUCCGCGUUGCAUUAGCUAGUUGGUAAGGUAACGGCUUACCAAGGCAACGAUGCAUAGCCGACCUGAGAGGAUGAUCGGCCACACUGGAACUGAGACACGGUCCAGACUCCUACGGGAGGCAGCAGUAGGGAAUCUUCCGCAAUGGGCGAAAGCCUGACGGAGCAACGCCGCGUGAGUGAUGAAGGUCUUCGGAUCGUAAAGCUCUGUUAUUAGGGAAGAACAGAAGUGUAAGUAACUGUGCACAUCUUGACGGUACCUAAUCAGAAAGCCACGGCUAACUACGUG
Molecule: ribosomal RNA, 497 nt
Filed under: uncultured bacterium
Lineage: Bacteria
Description: partial 16S ribosomal RNA
Rfam family: Bacterial small subunit ribosomal RNA
Source: RNAcentral